RNAcentral lists this ribosomal RNA (138 nucleotides) under uncultured eukaryote. RNAcentral's name for it is "partial 18S ribosomal RNA". It matches the Rfam family "Eukaryotic small subunit ribosomal RNA", at positions 1299 to 1458 of the family's 1831-position model. The record is from RNAcentral.
UGGUGGGUUGCCUUGUCAGGUUGAUUCCGGUAACGAACGAGACCUCAGCCUGCUAAAUAGUCACGUCUACCUUGGUAGAUGCCUGACUUCUUAGAGGGACUAUUGGCGUUUAGCCAAUGGAAGUGUGAGGCAAUAACA